Molecule: transfer RNA, 71 nt
Filed under: Loxodonta africana (African savanna elephant)
Lineage: Eukaryota; Metazoa; Chordata; Mammalia; Proboscidea; Elephantidae
Rfam family: tRNA
About the family: Transfer RNA (tRNA) molecules are approximately 80 nucleotides in length. Their secondary structure includes four short double-helical elements and three loops (D, anti-codon, and T loops).
Source: Rfam by way of RNAcentral
GCAGUGGUGGUUCAGUUGUAGGAUUCUUGCCUUCCACGCUGAAGACCUGGGUUCAAUUCCUGGCCAAUGCA